GGCUCUGAAGAGUCCUCACAGAGAAGAGCAGAUUUCUAAUGUUUAGUUUCUGUGUUGGGUAGCCCCAUGUCCAGAUGACAUAGAGAUGCAUUUAAAGCCUUCAGCUGUUGGGCUGAGGGCAGAACCCAGAAGCAGAGCAACUUGCCUACCUGGUAGGAUUUCCAGUACUGCAAAACGAAAACUCUUAAGCUUCUCUGAGUAAAUGAGAGGAGAAGACUAAGACCACCUCUACAAAUCCGACCUCUAAGCGGGGAGCAGUCGGGAAGCCGGUCACAGCCGCUUCUGGAGGUGCAGGAGGUCUCUCUGCCUUCACUGCAGGGAAAUAGAAGGUCCCUCAUCUGUCCCCAGAAGAGCACCUUAUAUCAGCAAGCGGACCCCUGGCACCUGCCAUUGCAGCUUCCAUUGUGCAGCCACAUGUCCCCACCACGACUACCUAGCUCCAAUGUCACAUGGCCUGCAAAAAGGAUCUACCAUUGGAGCCAAAGCUCACCCCACUGGAGCACUAAUGUUGAGCAAAUUGGCUUUCGAAUCAUUCGUUUUCUUCACCAGGAGGGACAAGCUAUCAAUAGACACCUGGGACACGAUUCAGUCUGUUGUAACUGCAACCCUGAGCCAGAAGGAGCGUGCAGAGAACUUCCCUCCCUAGCUCCAUUUCUACACAAACGAUUUACUGUAACUCUUCUACAGUGCUUACACAACAAAUAAAGGUAGCACCGGAGACC
This 722-nucleotide long non-coding RNA is filed under the name Mus musculus (house mouse). RNAcentral's name for it is "RIKEN cDNA 1700110C19 gene (1700110C19Rik)". The record is from RNAcentral. Lineage: Eukaryota; Metazoa; Chordata; Mammalia; Rodentia; Muridae.